CCUACACUGCUUCCUGUUUCUUUCUUCCCAACUGUCUGGAUGAAGAUCUUCUCACAGAUGAAGAACUGCUUUUCUCACUCCUAUUGUCCAUGCCAUUUGAUAGCAACGAGGGAAACUUUGUGGGCACUAAAUGCUGCCGAACCAUGGAAAAAAAAAAUAAAAUCGAAUCGCUCUGCGACUAGCAUGGUGUGGCUACAGCAAGGCAGAUCCUAGUGAGUUGGAAUCAUAUCAUUCUGAGCAUCUGCACCACUCCUCCUUGGAGAGGGCAUACUAAUCAUCUCUCUUCAUGGUCAGUAACCACAUAAGGACAACACCAGACGAUGCCAGUGGUUUUGGUCCUGUAGCAUUUAUAUGCUACCCUACAAAGAGAGUCAUGCCAGAUAAUAUUCGUCAACCUUGUCCUUGGUCUUCUUUCCUGAUUGAGGCAGAUGUUUAUUUUCCAUCUGCACUGUCAGUGCAACUGCAGCCUUCAUCUGGCAAAGGGUGCCAGUAAUAUUAUGAGGCCAUCGCAUAAACUGCUGGAAAGAUUACUCUGGUGAAUAAAAUCAGUUUAUGGCUAAAAACAUUUAUUCUUAAUUUUGAUAAGCCCUUAACAAAUGGAAAUUUGCUUCCUUACACUUUUGCCAAGCAUAGGACCAUGUUUAUUUCCUACUAUAUGGGUCACGAAGGAUUCCCAGCUGUUAGAUAGAGUCAGUUGUGCAUUGCUGCACUCGGCAACAUCUGUUUCACAAAGACAGUAUCCAGCUUUUAGCGCUCAAAUGGAGGUUCUACCAUAUGCCAGCAGACCACUUAGUUUUUACCUUGGGAACCAACUUUACACUAGUCAAGGUAACAGAGUAAGAACCGAAUAUUUAAAUGUUACUAGGCUUCAGUCACAUCUUCAUGUGCUCUUGUCAUUUCCAACUAUAUAUAGUAAAAUUAGUUCCAAGCAUAUACCACAAGCUGUUCCUCUGUUUAAUUAUUAACUGGAAGAAAGUUUGUUUGCAAAACAGUUGAAAUGUAUUUUGUGAUAUACUCUGAUGUUGAAAGCAGUGCCAUAAAAUGAUUUGCAAAUACAGAA
Molecule: long non-coding RNA, 1060 nt
Organism: Monodelphis domestica (gray short-tailed opossum)
Lineage: Eukaryota; Metazoa; Chordata; Mammalia; Didelphimorphia; Didelphidae
Source: RefSeq, a predicted model, not a curated record